GUUCGAAUGGCCAAGCGGUUAAGGCGUGGGAUUGCAGAUCCUAAGGUCCCUGGUUCGAGUCCGGGUUCGAACU
This 73-nucleotide transfer RNA is filed under the name Clonostachys rosea. It matches the Rfam family "tRNA". From Rfam's summary of the family: Transfer RNA (tRNA) molecules are approximately 80 nucleotides in length. Their secondary structure includes four short double-helical elements and three loops (D, anti-codon, and T loops). The record is from RNAcentral. Lineage: Eukaryota; Fungi; Ascomycota; Sordariomycetes; Hypocreales; Bionectriaceae.